Molecule: long non-coding RNA, 876 nt
Organism: Canis lupus familiaris (dog)
Lineage: Eukaryota; Metazoa; Chordata; Mammalia; Carnivora; Canidae
Exons: 3
Source: RefSeq, a predicted model, not a curated record
UCCUUUAACAUGGUUCUUAACAGCUACAUCAUUUACAUGUAAUAAUGCCGUAGACUCUGGUCGAAGAAUAAUGUUCGAUCCACAGAACCCUGAGCAAAAGAGCUCCCAGGCUUUUAUUUUGCUGAUUGUGAGAAGGGUCACGUCAGUGUCCCAAACCUUAAAGGACAAUAUUUUUAUUGCUCAAGGAGGACCAUUACCAAGACAUUAAACUUCCACUUCCUUGAGUGGAAACGGUGGAAUAGGAGUUUUCUACUAUCUUCCCAUUGAAAAAAAAAUACCUAUUUUGGGAAUCACUCACAGACUAGAGUACCUUUGUGGAAGUCCAAGAGUCCAGCAGAGAAGUUCCAGCACGCUGUUGGGACAAAGCUACCUGAGAUUGGAAACACAGAAGAGGAUAAAAGGACUAGUUUCCUUUUACCAGCAUCUCUCCUCCCCCACAGCAGCACAGCUCGGUACCAAGAGAGAGUUCUUAGCCUGCUGUUUCUGCCACAUGGGAAAGUGAGUGUGUAGGUGAACAUCCAGCUGCCCCAGCCGUGCAGAACUCUGCCAGAGAGGCUCACUUCUUUCUCAUCCAGUCCAGAAUAAAGAUUGCUGCACAACUAGAGCUGAGUGGCUGGAAGAACCGCCAACAGGGUUCUUCAAGAGCAUCAAAGGGAUGUAGAUCCUACUAAGUACUUUGCAGAAUUCAUCAGGAAGCCUGCCCCAAAACCACUGGGGAUGACUAGCCUGUGGAUCGUCCAACAGGCCCACAGGAAAAGAAAAGUGAUAUUUCUUCAAGUGGCAGUGCAUGAAGCAAGAGCCAUGAAAAAAAAUUAAGAAACGCCCAAGUCAGCUUCUGGAACCUGCAAGGAACCACCCUUCUGUGAUCCUUACCUG